CCAGACUCCUACGGGAGGCAGCAGUGGGGAAUAUUGCACAAUGGGGGGAACCCUGAUGCAGCGACGCCGCGUGAGUGAAGAAGUAUUUCGGUAUGUAAAGCUCUAUCAGCAGGGAAGAAAAUGACGGUACCUGACUAAGAAGCCCCGGCUGACUACGUGCCAGCAGCCGCGGUAAUACGUAGGGGGCAAGCGUUAUCCGGAUUUACUGGGUGUAAAGGGAGCGUAGACGGCAGAGCAAGUCUGAAGUGAAAGCCCGCGGCCCAACCCCGGGACUGCCCUUGGAACUGCAUGGCUGGAGUGCGGGAGGGGCAGGCGGAAUUCCUGGUGUAGCGGUGAAAUGCGUAGAUAUCAGGAGGAACACCGGCGGCGAAGGCGGCCUGCUGGACCGCGACUGACGUUGAGGCUCGAAAGCGUGGGGAGCGAACAGGAUUAGAUACCCUCGUACC
RNAcentral lists this ribosomal RNA (446 nucleotides) under uncultured bacterium. Its description in RNAcentral is "bacterial SSU rRNA". It matches the Rfam family "Bacterial small subunit ribosomal RNA", at positions 331 to 794 of the family's 1533-position model. The record is from RNAcentral.